Molecule: ribosomal RNA, 460 nt
Filed under: uncultured bacterium
Lineage: Bacteria
Description: partial 16S ribosomal RNA
Rfam family: Bacterial small subunit ribosomal RNA
Source: RNAcentral
CCUACGGGUGGCAGCAGUGAGGAAUAUUGGUCAAUGGACGAGAGUCUGAACCAGCCAAGUAGCGUGAAGGAUGACUGCCCUAUGGGUUGUAAACUUCUUUUAUAUGGGAAUAAAAUGUUCCACGUGUGGGAUUUUGUAUGUACCAUAUGAAUAAGGAUCGGCUAACUCCGUGCCAGCAGCCGCGGUAAUACGGAGGAUCCGAGCGUUAUCCGGAUUUAUUGGGUUUAAAAGGAGCGUAGGUGGAUUGUUAAGUCAGUUGUGAAAGUUUGCGGCUCAACCGUAAAAUUGCAGUUGAAACUGGCAGUCUUGAGUACAGUAGAGGUGGGCGGAAUUCGUGGUGUAGCGGUGAAAUGCUUAGAUAUCACGAAGAACUCCGAUUGCGAAGGCAGUUCACUGGACUGCAACUGACACUGAGGCUCGAAAGUGUGGGUAUCAAACAGGAUUAGAUACCCGUGUAGUC